UUCCAUUGCCGUGUCUUAAUUUAAUUAAAUCAUUUUCUUUUUUUUCAAUUUUAUUUCAUUUGGCAUGGCAAUCUUAGAAAAUUCAUAAGUCACUCAAUUUUAAUCCAAAUUUGAUGGGAUUUUUUGUGAAAUGCUCCUCGUGAUCUCUAGUUUAUUAUGGUGAUUUUUCCAGUUUUUUUGCACGUGUUGAUUUUAAAAAUGCCUAGGGUUUGUUCAUGUGUGUCCAUUG
RNAcentral lists this long non-coding RNA (229 nucleotides) under Lathyrus oleraceus (garden pea). Its description in RNAcentral is "Pisum sativum (pea) long non-coding RNA (PSAT_LNC040294)". Lineage: Eukaryota; Viridiplantae; Streptophyta; Magnoliopsida; Fabales; Fabaceae. The record is from RNAcentral.